Molecule: long non-coding RNA, 34084 nt
Organism: Mus musculus (house mouse)
Lineage: Eukaryota; Metazoa; Chordata; Mammalia; Rodentia; Muridae
Product: predicted gene, 51971
Exons: 2
Source: RefSeq, a predicted model, not a curated record
CCGGCUUUCUGGAAAGACGUCUAAAAUUGCCUCUGGUAUCUUGAGCCAGUCUCAGUUUUAUGACUGUCAAUGAGGAAGAGUCUGAGGUGGAACUAUAGUAACAUUUGGAAACAUUACUCAUAACGGUAGCCAGAUCGUUGUUCUUCUAAUUUUACUACAUUGCCAAUUACCUAGCGUAAAACUGGCCUUUGAGAAUAGAAUGGAAAUACAAGAAACAGGGUGGGUAUUUUUGUCCCAUGCCAUAGAAAUCAGUUGCAGAGAAUGAAAGGAUCUACAAACGAUUCCGAAAGGCUUAACAAAAGACAUCAAGCCAGGAUGGAGAGCAGGUCAUGUGAUUAGUACCUUCUGCAGAAGCUGAGGCUGCCUGCCUUUGAAGCAAUUGGUGGUUUCUACCCUGGUGGGAAGGGCAAUGUUCUCCUUGUAGAGAGUCUUUCAUCCGAAGACAAUGCAUUAUGCAGAAGAAAGGAGCUUUUUAUAACCACUGAUCGAAUGUCAGACUUUUUCAAACAUCUGUGGCUUCUGGAGACCUUUUGAAGGUGUCACAGCACAGAGAAAUGGGGGUGCUGGUGAGCAUACAGUUAAAUGAGGGCUCCAGAAAUAUACACUGUGACUUCGACCCUGCCAUAGUCUCUUCUCUCUCCCAGGUCCUUAAGGGGAAAAUAUAUAUUACAUGUAGGCUUUGUCUAAACUUCAAGUUAGAUGAUACCCUAAGGAAGAUUGUUUUACCUAAGCUGGUUCAUAAAAUAAAAUAAAAUAAAAGCCUAAGCAGAUUUGUAGAUCUUAACACUGAAGUGACUUAUGGCCUAUAGCUACCAUGGAAGCGUGGUGAGCCGCCAAGAGAGAGCUUGUUUCUAAAUGCUUUGAGUGGAUCUGGCUUAGCCUGUUAUCUGGCUUCACCUUUCACGUUUAGUGCGACAGAUCAUCUGCCAGAUGUCUUGGUUACAUUCCCACUGUUGUGAUAAAGCACUGUGACCAAACACAACCUGGAGAGGAAAUAGUUUACUCAGCUUACACCUGUCAGGUCUCAGUCCAUCACUGAAAGAAGUCAGGACAAGACCUUAAGGCAGGAGCCUGGAGGCAGAGCUGAUGCAGAAGCCAGAGAGGAAUGCAGCUUACUUGCUUGCUCCAGAUGGCGUGUUCAGCCUGCUUUCUUAUAGCACCCAGGAUCUCCAGCUCAGGGAUAGUACCAUCCACAAAGGUCUGGGCCCGUCCUCAUCAGUCCAUAAUUAAGAAAAUGCCCUGCAGACUUGCCUAUAGCCUGAUCUUAUGAGACAUUUUUCUUAAGUGUGAUUCCUUCUUUUCAGAUAAUUCUAGCUUGUGUCAAAGUGGCAAAACCUUACUAGGACACUAGGUUACUACGUCAAUGUUUAAGACAGGGAGGGAAAGAAGAUUCAGAGGAGAGAAGGGAGGAGGGAAGGGGUAAGAAAGGGAGAGAGAGGGGAGCACAUGAGAAAAGGAUCAGUGUAAGUCAGAGAGCCCCAUGCCACCGAUAGUUGCUCUUGGGAAGAUCUCAGCAUGAUGGCAGAGCUAUGGCUGGAGGCAGCCCCAGCAGAAUGUCAGCCCCCAAUAGUGCCCUCCUACGGCCGGCCUUAGGGAGCAUUGUGACUAGGAUCCAGAGAUAAUUUAUUCAGAGGAAUCUUGGGGUGAGAGUAAACUAGAAGUUAGAGGACACUCCUUUGUACUGCUCUCUCCAGUGCUGAUCUAGUGUGUGGCUUCCCUAAGUUGAUACAGGAUUGAGCUUGUAAGGCAAAUCAGCUGUUAUUCCACAAAUCCUUCGCAUGUACACAGGAAGUUAGUUAAAUGCUAGAAGUGAGGGGGGUAACACACCUACCGUUAGAAGACACAGCUAAAAACACUGUUAAAAAUUCAAAUGGUUGGACACGCAAACUGUAUAUGCCCCAGUACAGGGGAACGCCAGGGCCAAAAAAAAAAAAAAAAAAAUGGGAAUAAGUGGGUAGGGAAGUGGGGGGGAAGGGUAUGGGGGACUUUUGGGAUAGCAUUGGAAAUGUAAUUGAGGAAAAUAUGUAAUAAAAAUAAAUAAAUAAAUAAAAAUUCAAAUGGUCUUAAAAAUACUAACUUGUCAUUAACUUCACUUAAUUAGACUAAUAGGGCUGGCAAGAUGGCUCAGUGGAUAAGAGCACUGACUGCUCUUCUGAAGGUCCUGAGUUCAAAUCCCAGCAACCACAUGGUGAUUCACAACCACCCGUAAUGAGAUCUGAUACCCUCUUCUGGUGCUGUCUGAAGAUAGCUACAGUGUAUUUAUUUAUAAUAAUAAUAAAUAAAUCUUUGGGCUGGAAUGAGCAGGGACUGAGCAAGCAGGGUUGACCAUAGUGAGCAGAGGUCCUAAAAUUCAAUUCCCAACAACCACAUGAAGACUCACAACCAUCUGUACAGCUACAGUGUACUCAUAUACAUUAAAUAAAUAAAUAAAUAAAUAAAUAAAUAAAUCAUAAGUCUUUUAAAAAGAAAAUAAAAUAAAAAACAAGCAAACAAAAGACAAGGAAAAAAUAAUUAUUUAAAUUAAUUAUUUAGAUGUAAUUAUUUAAUUAUCUAAUGACCAAUAAAGUACAUAUGGAAACUUAAAUUUUAACACAAUAGGAAUGUAAAUUUUUUCGUGCCAUUAAUGUAUAGUUUAUUUAGUGUUUGAAACAUUAUCUCUGGGGAGAUCUGCUUUCUCACUGUAGCUGUCUUUGUACUUUUAGAAAGGCUUCUUGUAUCUGUCAUUGCUCUAUUUCAGGUGUGAGCUAUCUUCCCCCACUGAGAAAGGAGCUGCAGGAGAUGUAAAGUCAGGACAGUGGUCCUAUGAUCCCAGACAAUGACUGUUCAGUGCUGAAUUGGAACUGUCUACCUUCAUUUUACUUUACGGCUUCUGUCAGCACCGUCCUGUUUGUUGUUUCAUCAAGUUACUUAGCUAAAUUCUCUGUGAUGUUCUCAAAUGUGUGUAACAAUGGAGCCCUUCUCUACUGAGCCCAAAGUCAGCAAACUCCAGUGUGUGUGGCCGCUACUGUGGUCUGCACGAAAGGCUUAGUUUUGAAUCCUGAUAUGCUUAUAUAAGUUUCUCCUUCGUUAUAUAAUAUUUCUUUGUUCAGUGGAAUUUUGGUACAUUUAAAUUUUUGAAUAUGUCACUGUGGUACCAGGUUCAGCCUCCCUUCUCAGGGUGUGCAGGUGCCACCAGCAAACUGGGGGUCCACAGUCUGCAUAAGUCAGAUACUGUUCCAGGAGGGGGUGAAGUGGAGUGGGACGGGAAGAAAAGAGAGUAUGAAGCAGCUCUCUGAGACAAUCCUGGCUUGUUCAUAUUUCUCUAUUGGGGAUAUGGUGGUGGGUUUGAAUUAAACAAAAGGUUAUAUAGUUUCUGGGGAAGGGCGUGAGAAUAUCCAGGGAGGGAAAGGGCACUCAUUGCCUGAAGGAUUCUGCUACUGAGAUGCCUCGUUAGUUCGGCGAGGUAUCCUAGGUGCUGAGUGGUCACUGAUUAAGUGGGACAAGCUGGUUGGGAGUCGCCUAGUUGAAUGCUCUGAGGCAGGUAUGGAACCAGGGAGGGGUUAGCCCUCCCCCUGCAGGUCCCACGAUGAGGUUCUAAUCUCAGUUUUUCAGAUUUCUCAGGCUCAACCUUGCCUGUUCCAUGCCACUUCCUCUGGUGUCGUUGUACACGUGUCCUCCAUGUCACCCUUUCGUCGCACUCUACAUACAUUCAAAAUGAUAAAGCACGUAGCCCAGGGUGUCAGUGGAGAUUUACCAGGACACCCUUGUAAAGCAGCUCCUAGAUGAGACUGUGGCAAAGCAGGGGGCAGAUCCACCUUGGGUUCAUGGUCUCAGCUUCAUAUUACUGCUUCGGUCCAUUAGUUGAUUUAUUAAUUUACAGUGGAACGUAAUCGUCAGGACAGGGGUGCCCAUGACCUUGAAGACCAUCUGUGUACAGAAAAAUGCCAGUUUUGUGCAUCUAUUCCAAUGUUUCCCUAAUGGUCCAAACCCAAGUUUCUUACCUGGUUACUCUGCUCAUGUCUUAGUAGGAGUCUCAAGCUGGGGAUGUCCGUUCGAUCGCUCUGAGUGCUCCCCUACUUGCUCUGAGUGCUCCCCUACUUGUCCCAGUUACGGUAGAGGGACCACUCUUUGCCUAGGCAUACAUACAUCUCUAUCAACAGGAAACACAUCCCCCAGUUGUGCCUUCAAUUCAUUCACUGCUGUGUAACACUACUGAGCCAGCCUGGCCCUUGCCUGCCUGGGUACUUAAUGCCUGGGUACUUAAUGCCUGGACUAAUCUUGCUUUCUUUUACCUUUUAUCUUCCCCACUCUUGCAGCCUAUUUCCCAUUCAGUAGCUAUUUUUAAAAACUGUCUAUCAGAGUAUGCCAUUCUUCUGUUUUGGAUCUCUUCCUUUGACUCUUUACUGCCUAAGUCUCUGGUGUGGCUCCUCCCAUUCACCCUGAUCGUUAAAGCCCCAGAGAAUGUCAAGCUAGUUCUUGCCCUGUAGCUUUCCUUGUUCCUUUUGCCCAGAGACUAUGUUUCCCUGUGUAUAUUGCACAGCCGACUCUAGAUCCUCACUGUUAGCCAGAGGCACAGUCAGGUUCCAACAUCCACUCACAGAGGCCUGGAGGGGAUCAGGCAGGGGUUGGGAAGAAGCAGGUGGGGCUUAUUCUGUUUUUGAUGAAGGGAACACACACACACACACACACACACACACACACACACACACACUACAGUUGUCUACACACCUCACACUGCCUUUACAGUGCUUGCUUUAAGUCAUUUUGACACUGUCUUCUCGGGAAAAUAUAUUAAUGUACAUUUUUUAAAAACUUCAUUGAAAAAAUGGUUUUGGAAAAUGCUCACAGUGGCUUUCACCAGUGGUCAUAUAUUAAAUUUUUAGAUCAUCAAUUUCUGAUGCCUACUCUUAAAACACCUACUCAUAAUCUCAUAGACAUUAGUCAUUCUAAUUUACUUUUAUAAAAAAAUCUUAUACAGUUACAGCAUUUGUUUGCUUCUUGUGUCAGAUAUCUAUUCUCCCUUAUCCUUCUUGCUCAGGACAGAAUAGGGUACUGAGUGUGGGAUCAGUUCAUACACAAGCCUAGAUAGUUAAACCCAAGUCUUUAUGUCCAUUGCCUCCUCUCCCCACAGGCAGGAUUGUUUUUAAAAACAUAUGGGAAGUGUGCUUGCUCCGUUAAGACUGAUUUCAGACAAAAACAUUGGAGGAAUUAAGACACAAAUAUGUUUGGGGUAUUGUUCUCACACUGUUGGAGAAUCUGAGAGUGUAUCUGAAGUCUUGGAUAUACACGUUGCCUUGGGAACCUGCCCAGAGAUUCUAUAUAUUUCAUAGAUGGAUACGCUUGCCCAAACCCUUGCAAUCCUUUUUUUUUCCUUUGGUUCAUUAAUUGGCAGUUAUUUUGAUCAGUAAAUGUGCUUUCAGGGGCCUAGUGGUCACUCAGUCAGUAAAGUGCUUGCUGUGAAAACAGGAGGACCUGAGUUCAGUCACCACGAGUCACGUAAAUCUUAGCACAGACUUAUGCACUUGCAAUCCCAGUGCUAGGACACAGGACACCCACAGAAGCAUCCCAUGGUCGUGCUGGUCAGACUGUGCAGCCUAAUCCCUGAGCUCCAGGUCUCAGUUAGAGACCCUGCCUCUAAAAACAAGGUGGGAAGCUUCUGAGGAACCCAAGAUGUACAUGUGCACAUAUAUGAACAUGACCACACAUAUGUGCACAUACAAACACACAAAGUAUAUGUUCAGACAUUUCACCCAGAUGCUCAUUUCCUUCCACCUGCCCCUGCCCCUUGUGACAUCAGAUCAAACACCAAGACUUUGCAUCCCCAGCCUUUUUCUCUAAAGGUGACUUUUGGUCAUGGUGUUGGUCUUAAAGUUUCUCUCUCAUACACUACUUGUCUUAUUCUGUUGCUGUGAAGAGGACCAGGGCGCUAAUUGUGGGAUCAGUUCAUACACAGGGCCAGAUAGUUGAGCCCAAGUUUGAGUCCAAGGAGACCAUGACCGUGGCACCUCUGAUAAGGAAAGACAUUUAUAUGGGGCUGGCUUACAGGUCAGAGGUUUAGUCCAUUGUCAUUAUGACAAGGAACGUGGGGGCAUGCAGGCAGACAUGGCACUGGAGAGGUAGCUGAGAGCUCUACAUAUAGAUCCACAGGCAGCAGGAGGGGAGUCUGAGGCUGACUUGAACACCUGAAACCCCAAAGCCCAGUAACAUACUUCCUCCAGCAAGGCCACACCUCCUAAUCCUGUCAAUUAGUACUCACUAAUGUCCAAGCCUUUCUUGAGCGCUCCGGACUGGCCAGCAGUAACGACGCUGCAACAGGAUCCUUCUGCACACAUUUAUUGGGAGAGCUUGAUUACAGAGGCGAAGAGACCCCAAGCCCAGAACUGGUGCUGCUUAUAUAGGCCUAGGAGAGGCGUGUCUCACACCCGGAUUGGUUAUGCACUAAGCCUCAUUUGCAUGUUCCUCAUCUGAUUGGCUACUCUCUCUCUCUGUACCUCACAGAGCCUCAUUAUCAUACCUCAUUUGCAUGUCUCACAUCUGAUUGGUUAUACUCCCAAAGCCUCAUUAUCAUGUCUGGGCCAGGCAGUGUCUUUGCAAAAAACUUUACUGCAUAUGUACACAUUGGUUGUUUGUCUGAACUUAUGCAUGAUGGCCAGCAGUAGUCAGCGCCACUCUGCAACGGCACAUGUGGCUUCCCACAAGCCUUUAAAUAUAUGAGCCUAUGGGAACCAAUCGUAUUCAAACCAACACACCACUCUCCUAUCUCUCUUAGUUCCAAGUUCUCAGGAGGAAAUUUCACUAUAACCUCCAGAUUGAGUUAAUCAUUAUUACAAAGUUUUCACAGGGAAGUGAUUGCUACUGAAAGCAGAAAAAAAAAAAAAAAUCUAACCUUAAAAAAAAAAGUCACAGGAAAACUGACUUAUACUAAAUCCUUUCUCCAUUGUUUUCAAACUGAACACACAGUCUGCCUAUUUUACUUGCUACUUUCCAGACGUGCCCGGUUAGAGGUGUGAGAAACACCGGAAACAGUUACACGCCCAUCUGCACGAGUACCCACACGCCCAGGUCUGGAAGUUGUGCUGCACAAGACGAUCUGUCCAAGAACCUUAAACAUUGCAGUCUUAGCUGAGACCUCAGCUGCAUGACCGUGUUAGGUGCUAAGCAGGCACUUUCUCAGGGAGAAUGCUGCCUGUAUCCCUGAAGACAGGACAGCAAAGAGGUGGCAAGGCAUAGACUAAGAAAUGUAGCCUGUAAAUAAACAGAAGCCUGGAAGUGACUUAAUUGAAAUCAGUUCCCAACUUUAAAUUCUACUUUCAAACUCCCACCAUGUAAGACUUGUGCCUGAAUCUUUGAUAUAGGCCUGAUUUUCAAAGGUAGAACACUGGAUUAAAAUCUGUUUAUAGGACCUUCUGACUCAGAUGCCUAAGACAUCUGGGAGUUAAUCCAGACACCCACUAACUCACAUGGGGGCUAGAGGGCCUGUUGGGAAAGGGCUGUGUCCUCUUCACAGCUGGGAAUUUGCACAUCAGGUAUGCCUGAUGAUCUAAAGAUGGUGGAAAUCUAGAGACAAGGGGCUGCUAGGAGAGGAUUCAUGCUCAUCGUGGGUCCAAGAGGCUGUGCCAAUAUAACACAAAGAGAGAACAGUGAUGGGCUGUGGCACAGUGAUCCAGCCCUGGAACAGACCUGUGGGUAACAACUAGGGAGAAGAGAAGGCUGAGCACAUGGUGCCAGUGGCUUCCUGACUGGCUGAGGUAGACUUGCCCCUGAUUUGGGAGGUUCAGAGGGAGAAACAUUCUCUUCUUUCUGUUAUAGAAGAACAACAAGUGAGUUUUGACCAAGAUGAUGGUGGUUUUCCCAGAGGACAGCUAUGGAGUCCAGGGUCCACUGCCUAUGAUCGUGAGCAGCAGCCAAGGUUGACUACUGAGGGCUUCUAUCCAGGGCUCCAAAUUCUUGGCAUACACAUCUGAGAACUACUAACGUCAACAUUUGGGGGUCUGGAGGACUCUGAUCUUAGCAUCUGUGUGACCCACACCAUAGUCUGAAGCAUCCAAUUCCUAACACCUCUGAGUAAAUACAGCAUAUCUUAAAUGAGAUUGAAGAGAAUAUUUUUUUUCUGGGAAAAAUACACAUUUUCCUUUUUGUCUUUUCAACCAUUAUUUUUUCCAGAGCAAAAUAAUCUCAGUCCAUUUAGCAGGUUGUGAAAUGGAUUUAGUCAGAUAACUGAAACAAUGCAGCUGGACAGAAUUGUAGAGAUAAAAUAUUUUGUAAAGUUUGAUUAUAGAUGUAUUCAUGAAUACAUAAUUGGUCAUGGUGUACAUUUAUUCUUUUACUGAGCCAAUAUUAGAGUGGUUUAAUAGUCACUGAUUUAGACCAUUCUCAAUUUUCCUCAAUAUCUUUGAUAUAUACUCAAAUUUUAGAAGAUAUACUGCACACAAACUUAGUCAGGUACUGUUUUGUGCACUAUGACCAUUGUUCUUUAUUCUGGGCUCAAACUUAGAUGGAACAUUCAUUAAAUCACCACCAUCAAAGGUAUAUCCCACAUCUCAGGAGUUUAAAAUAGGGAUUGAUUGGCAGAAAUGAAGACUAAUUUUAAAAUUUUUCUCCUCAACCUUAGAUUUUCCCAACCUAGAAUCUCUUUUUGAUUGAUGUGUAACAUGGUCUAAAUAUAUCUCCCCAAAAUUUUUGUGUAGCAUUUCUUAAGAAGUAUAGCUUUAAAGGACCCCACCCUCCUGAGUGAGAUGGCUAACCUUAGAGGCUGGGCUGUUUCUUUUGCCAUGUAAGGACACAGUGAGAAGCUACCUACUCCAGAGCAGGAAGUCCUCACCAGGUACGAAUUUUGAUGAUGUCUCCUCAUGAGCUUCCCAGCCUCCAACAGUGAAAAAUGUCCUUCUUUAUAAAUUACUAAACAAAGCUGAAAUCCGUCCACGUGGUGAUCGCUUAGGAGUGAGCUUUCUUUUCUGUUUUCAUUUCAUUCCUUUUUGAAUUUUAGAAAAGCACUCUAAAGUCUAGGUAUUUUGCUUCUUCUUGUACAUGGAGCCAUGAAUUGGUAGGAAAUGGGCUCCAGCCACUCAGGCCCCUUUUCAUUAGUUCCCACCGAGUGUUUCUCUGGGUACCAUGGGCUGCUGCUUCAGGUGAAUCCCAGUGACUUUCUCUCUGCUUCCUUUGUCUUCUGAUCAUUUUCCUUCGCCCUUUGCAGGAUGCUGUCUUGGUUCCUCAAGCACUCCCUGUGAUCAGUAUGUACAUUCAUUCUUUUGGCAAAGAUCUCGCCCCAAACUUGCCUGUUUACAAUGAUGUCAGUGUCUUUCUGAGUGUUGGAGACUCUUCCAGUGUAGCUGAGAUGACGGUUUUAGGGCAUUCCUCUGUGAACGGUGCCCAUUCACUUGAUGCCUACAGGACCAUCCUUCCUGUGUAUUUGAUGAAUGUGGUUGAAGGAACAAGUUUUUGUUUCCUAAAAGGCCAAGAGAACACAUAGCGUGGACCCCUCCUCUUCUGUGUUUGCCAUUUUGGCAGAUUACUGGAAGAUGGCUACUUUCUUUCCUUUUUAAUUUUUCUUUCGGAGAUAGAGUCUCAUGUGGCUCAGGCGGGUUUCAACCUCACCAGCCUGAGGAUGGCUUUGAGUUCCACCCGCCUCGUGUACUUCAGUUUCAGGCACAGACCAUCAUGCCAGCAGGACUGUGAUUCCAUUACAUCAAAUCAGUAGGAAGUUUUCACAAUAUCUAGUGUAUAGCUCAUGUGAUAAUAUGUGAUAUUAUUGACCAAUAAACCUGUGCAGUACAGUAAGUUUGUAGAUACUUUGUACAACUUAGCGGGCUUCAUCAAAGUAAUUUAUAUUUUUAAAGGAAAAGAAAUGGAAAGAAAGGGACCAGAGACUCAAGGGCAGUUGCUGGCCCAGGACACACAAACCACUGGGUUCAACCGCUAGUGUGCAGAAGGCAGAGUUGAGGACUGUUGAUGCUUAAAAGGCCCAGCCUUAUGGAAAACUCCAUCUGGUUGAGUAAUUAUCUCCUCCAUCCUCACUUCAUGACCAAUGCUGGAAGACAUUGAUGAACUGAUUGGUGAAAGUAUUUUCGAUAGGAGGAUGAACAGCUUGAAGUAGGGGUGCAAAUGAAGUCUAGAGCCUCCCUGACUACUCAUCUCAUGGCUGCCUUGAGUCAAGAAGGAACUGGCUGCCAUCUGCUCAGCUCACCGUUUGCCACAACUCUGACCAUUCUACGCUCUUUACAAGUUCAUAUCCUAAAGGAAGGGGGCAUCUGGUCGAAUUAAACUACAAUUCUGCUAGCUUGUGAUUUCCUGAUUCCUCGAGGUGGCUGGAACUGGAGAUGAGAACAUUAAUGAGAAACACUAACAGUCCCAUUGGCUUCCAGGGACAAUACAUGACAGCCUUUGGUUCUUACCUUUGGCUGCAUAGCAGAAUAUUUCAGGAAGCUUUGAAAGUUAUUGUCCUGGAUAUGCUGGGGAUCAGCUGCCUCAGAACUUGGUUGUUAGUCACCCUGACACCCAUCCUCAUAGAGGUGUAGGGCUCCAGUAUACACCCAGAGCUGAUGAUCCUAGGAAAUGUUUGAGGAGACAGUUUAUGUAUCUCUUGCUUUUUUUGGUACUUUCUCUUUCCCAAGCAACACAGCUGGGAAAAGUCACAGCUGUGGAUUUAAAGUCACUGUUUCUAGGAGAAAUGGCUCCCAUAUGACUCAUUUAUUAAUUUUUUUAGUUUUUUUUUUUUUUGUGACCUGACUAGUCUUAUGUCAACUUGACACAAACUAUAGUCGUCUGAAAGAAGGGAACCUCAAUUGAGAAAAUGCUUCUAUAAGACAAAGAUUUGGAGCCGGGCGUGGUGGCACACGCCUUUAAUCCCAGCACUCAGGAGGCAGAGGCAGGCGGAUUUCUGACUUUGAGGCCAGCCUGGUCUACAAAGUGAGUUCCAGGACAGCCAGGGCUAUACAGAGAAACCCUGUCUCGAAAAAAAAAAAAAAAAGAUUUAGGACAUUUUCUUAAAUAGUGAUUGAUGGGGAAGACCUAUCCUAUCAUGGGUGCUAUCCAUUCCUGGGCUAGCAGUCCUGGGUUCUAUAAGAAAGUAGGCUGAGCAAACCAUGAGGAACAAGCCAGUAAGUAGCACCCUUCCAUGGCCUUUGAAUCAGCUCCUGCCUCCAGGUUCUUGCUCUUGUUUGAGUUUCUGUCCCGACUUCCUUUGAUGGUGGACUAUGGUAUGGAAAUACAAGCCAAAUAAACUCCCUUUCCUCCCCACUUGCUUUUGGUUGUGGUGCUGUUUUAUCACAGUGGUAAUAACUAACUACGACAGAAGUUUGUACCAGGAGUGGGUAUUGCUGUGACAGAUAUGACCAUGCAUUUGGGAAGAGUGUGGAAGGACUUUUGAAACUUUGGGGUAGAAAAGCCAUUGAGCAUUGAGAGCUCAGGUGGACUGUUCUGUAGGAACUUGGAAGAUAAGAAUUCUAAAAGCAGCUGGGAGGUGGUGGCACACACCUUUAAUCCCAGCACUUGGGAGGCAGAGGCAAGCGGAUUUCUGAGUUCGAGGCCAGCCUGGUCUACAAAGUGAGUUCCAGGACAGCCAGGGCUAUACAGAGAAACCCUGUCUUGAAAAACAAAACAAAACAAACAAACAAACAAACAAACAAAAAGAAUUCUGAGAGCAGAUGAUGGAGGCCUGACUCUUGAAGUUUCGGGGGUGGGGGUGGGGCAAAGACUCUACUGGGCCAUUUGAGUUAAGAAUCUGUUGUAUCUGGUUACCCGGAGCUGAAGAGUCAGUCGUGAUUAACAAGAGACUGGCAACACUGAAAUGAAACUUUUGAGUUCUAUGAUUGAUAGAAGAGGGCCCUUUCUAUUGUGGGUGGUGUUAUCCUUGGGCUGGUGGUCCUGGUUGUUAUAAGAACACAAGCUGAGCAAGCCAUGAGGAGCAAGCAAGUAAGCAGCAUCCCUCCAUGGUCUCAGCAUCAGCUCCUGCCUCCAGGUUCCAGCUCUGUUUGAGUUUCUAUCCUUAGUUCUUUAAUGAUGGAUCGUGAUGUGAAAAUAUAAGUCAAAUAAACUUUUCUUUCCAACUUGUUUUGGUCAUGCUCUUUCAUGACAGUGGUAGUAUCUUUUACUAGGGCACCCCAUAAAGUCAGGAGAAACAAAAGUAGAGAUGUCAGAAACAUGCAGGCAUUACCCUUUUUUGGUUAGAAUAUACAAUUCUAUGUUAUUUAUAUUAUAUAUUUUUAACUUUUUAAAGAGAAAAGGAGAAAGCUUGCAUUUCGCUCUCAUUUAUUGGUGUGGAAAUCAUCUUACACAUGGGUCCAGACAAGAGGCAUCUUUCCUGUAGCCAUACACGUUACUUAUGAACGGCUCAUUUUGAAGCUAUGAAUUUGUGACAUGUACCACACACAGAGUCUUAUGGAGCCAUUUCGUUCAAGAGAUGGAGAUGGUCUGAAAAAAGAGCGCUGCAUCUGAAGGAGGGGCAUUUUCUACACUGUAAAGAGGAUGCUACAUGACUGGGCUUGGGCUUGGGUGGGGGGGGGCACACUGGGAAGACAACGAAAACUAAACAGUCUCAAUGAAGUGUGGGCUUGAUAGAACCAUGACAAAAGUAUCUACAAAGGGAAGCAUAGAUUAAAAUUCUUUUAAAAACCCAGCCCUCGUUCUUAGCCUGACUUUACAGGUGUACAGGGUGAUUCGGGUAGGAGAGAGAUAUGAGCUGCUUACAAGGCUGUUAAGUGACACCCUGGCUGGACUUGGGCUGAAAGGGUAGAAAGAAAAACAAAACACAAAACCCAUCAAACAAAAAGCCCAUCACACGGAAUAACAACCUGGGCUGAGCAGGGAAUUGGAGGUAACGAACUUUUGCCGCCCCCACCAGUUUCUUGUUGUUAGGGGCUGAGUAAUGUGCACAAGGCUGUUAGCAGCAGAGUCUGGUGUACACUGCUUCUGUGAUUCGAGGACGAGAAAUGGACCUGCCUCCCCAGCGGCCUUUGCCCAAACUGGAGCUUCUUACGAUUUCCUCUUUGAUUCAUCAACGGAAUUUCUGUCGCAGCUCGCGCAGUGAUCAUCAAACACUGGUGUUACCAACGGCCUCCUUGCAACCCUUUACUGCUACAGAGGGAAUGGCUACUGCCCCUGCUGAAGGAAUCCAUCUCCAAAAUAAUGAGAGCCAGGCCUCAGUGGCUCAAUAAAAAGACAGCUUUUCCCUGUCUCUAGUUCUUCAAACACCUGUGAAGGUGGUGUCCUUUCUGCACCUGUCUGUGCGUCUUCCUCAAAGCAACUCAGAGCAAAGCGUUGUUUUAAGAAAUAUUUUAACUACAGAUCUUACCUCUCCCAGCUUCCAAUGUUGCUCUCACGUAAAGUCAAGGUGCAUGAAUACACUCUCUGAAAUGUCUUCAAAGUUUACACUCAGCUGGCCUGGUGUUCCUUCUAACUUUUCUCUUUGGUACCUCUGAGAAGCCAGGGACCUUCAGAAACGCACGCCUCAGAAGAGUUUCCCUCUCCCUAUAGAACUACCACGGUCUUUAGGCUGCACAUCCUUUCUGUGACAGAUGAAGUGCCUACUCAUGAAACCAUCUUGCAGGCCAAGCAGCUGAGACUCUGUGGGAGUCUCCUGAGUUGUCUGCUGUUGCAAGGUCAUGAACAGUACUCCCUGCCGUGUCUUCAGGGGGGUCUCCUUCCUCUCCGUAGCUAUAUUCUUCCCUUGAUACUUAUGUCUUUGAAAUAGGAUUGGGGAAAACAAUCAGCUUUCAGAUCAUUUCCUCUGAUUAUUUUCUUGAUGGAAAGCAAACCGAUACUCUUUUCCGUGUGAUGGCUGAGAGGACUCCCGGAGUGGAGUUAUUUUCACUCUUGGACAUGUGAGUGUUAGUAUCCCUUCAGUUUCUUCCAGACCCAGUCCUGGAACACAUUGCACUUAAGGGAAGUGACUUGGAGAAGUACUGACCAUAAAGGCUCUGUCUGCAGUUUUAAAAUUGUGAAUAUUUAGAGGUAAAUCAUUUUGUUAUCAUUGAGAAUAGUUUACCUUAGGAGAUAUGAAAAUGUGGUGAGACAUUGAAACUGGGAUUCCCUUUGCCCUGCUUCGUACAGACAAAUGCAAGGUUUCUUUACUCACACGCCCAGCAGAGCUUCAUCUCAAAGCUGGUGGACAUCUGCUUGGUCAUUUUCUGUGGCAGUGGAGGAGGGAGCUGGUUUCAAAAGCAUUGGUUUAGCUUUUCCUACAGUUCUCUGGGCAGCUGUAUAUUUUUGUCUGUCAUAAGACCACAAAUAGGAAUAAAUAUUUCAUAACCAUUUAGUGUGGUUUUCCGAAAAUUCAAUAAGUCUUCUAAAAUGCAAGUCCAUGGAUGUCUUUCAGGUUGCUAGGACAAAUCUAUUAAAGCUCAGAACAUAAAAAUUUAUAAAGACUGAGCAUUUACUGUGUGCUUAUGUAACAGAAUUUUAUGGCUUCUGCCUUUAUUUUAAAAAAGCCAAUGUGGUGCGUUUUAGUAUUCAUCCACCCUAAUUUUUUUUAUUUGAUAUGUCAUUUCCUUAACACUAUUAUAGAUGGCCCAAAGGACUCCUCCUUCAAACAGAAGCAUGUGUAAGAUGCUCAUAUUCUUUUCCUUACAUAAUGACAGAAAGCAGACACUGCAGAAUGGAUCAUGUAGGCAUGGAGACAGGCCUCGCAUCCAUCUCUAACCCGGCAGUUACACAGAGGUGGCAGCUCCCGGAAAUCCCCCCUGCCUCUGUCCAAACUGUUCAUUGCCUCUACCUGUGUCUGAGGACCCGGUGACCUUAUUUGCUUUUUCCUACACCAUUUUCUAACCUUCCCAUGCAACUCUUAAAGCUUUUUAGGGUCAAGUAAGUACUCUUAUUUCUUUGUAAAAAAAAAAUGCAAAUGCUUUUUUCCCCCGUACUCUAAAUGACUGAGUUCCCAUAUGGUCAUCUUAAAAUUUUUCUUCUUAAGUCAGGCAGUGGUGGCACAUGCCUUUAAUCCCAGCACUUGGGAGACAGAGGCAGGUGGAUUUCUGAGUUCGAGGCCAGUUUGGUCUACAGAGUGAGUUCCUCCAGGACAGCCAGGGCUACACAGAGAAACCCUAUCUCGAAAAAAAACAAAAACAAAACAAAGCGAAACAAAAAUUCCUUCUUCUCUUCCUAUAAGUGACAUUAGCAUACCAUGGAAACCAUAACUUCUAAAUCAUAUUUCAGAAAAAUACUAAAAUAUAUUCAUAAGCACUAUUAAAUUAGCAAAUAAUUCACAGAAACUCAAGAGUUAGGAGUUGGCCAAUGUAAACUGAAUUUUGGUGGUUUGAACUUGGAUCAAAAUUUGACAUUUUCAAAACAGUGCAGUGUUGCUAUUUUAGUUAAAUUCCAUCAUAGACAACGGACUCCAGAGUUUCUCCUUAUUGUUUGUGGUUUCGGUUAAAUAGCAUUUUUGCGGUCUAGGAUUCAAACCUAGGGCCUCAAACAUAGCAGGUAAGAAUUCUACCACAGGGCUAUGCCCCCAGGCCUAGAUCCCAGUUAAUAUAACUCAAAGGUUGUGCCCAAUUAAGUCUUAAAGCUCUCUAAAAGUCCCUAUUAUUUCAGUUCAUGAACGGAGACCAUGCUAUUGGAAAGGAAGUGGGUUUCUGACUCUAACACUGCCUUAAACCAGUCAGCAGCCUAACGUUCACAUAUCCAUUCUCUGUAAACCAAGGCAGUGUGAGAGGAUGCUAACGCACACUGUUUCCCAGCAUCCGCACAGUGGCUUCAAAGGUUACAGCAGGUACCACGAGACACUUACUGUGCACACUGUGCCCACUGUAGAAUAGAGAGCUCUGAGGAGAAGCAGGAAAGAAAUGCAAGAGCACUGUCAGUUUGAUUAAUGAAGUCCAGGACCAACGAUCAUCUUUCAAGGGAGAAAAAUGUCUACAGAUCAGCUGACGUUAAGGGGCUAGCCAACAGUAGUACUAUGAGCUGGUUCUUCCUCCUCCUCCUCCUCCUCCUUUUUCUCCCUUCUCCACUUUCUCCUUCACCUCCUCUUUCUUCUCAUUCUCCUUUUCUUCCUUCUCCUCCUUCAUUAUUAUUAUCAUCAACUUACUCUUAUUCCUUCUCCUUCUCUUUUCCUUCUUUUUUCUCUCUUCUUUCCAAUCUCCUUCCCCCCUCCUCCUCCUUCUCCUCCUCCUCCUCUUCCUCCUUCUCCUCUUCCUCCUCCUCCUCUUCUUCUAGAUGCCUGGACUGGAACCAAAAUCUGGAGUCCAACUUUUGCCACUGACUUGAUGUUGUGGCAUAGCCACCAUCUCCUCGGCCUCAGCAUGGCUGUUCAAAGCCUGAGGAAAAUGCUUGGUGCUCUCCAUGAGGGUAUCUGUGGAGACAGCUAAGCCCAUCCUGGGCAGACAUCCAUUUUGGAGAUUUUGUAACCUUGGUUUGUCCUCUUCUUUCUAUGUCUGUUUGAGGACCUUCCUCUCAAGGCUCCUCACAUUCUUUUGCCAUUCAAGUAAUGGUGUAAUCGGCUAUUGACCUUGUUUACUUUCGUUGCCACAAAGCACUUUUCAGUUAUGAAUUUUAAAAAGUCUGUAUAAAUAAUACUUAGUUCUCUGAUGAGAGAACUGAGGAGCAGAGAGGAUUAGCGACUUCCCUAAAAUCACACAGCAGGAAGGUGGCAGAGUUAGGAUUAGAAAGCAGGUUGUUUAAGAAACAUUUUAAUUAAUUAUUUGAUAAUUUCAUACACUGUAUCUUGAAUAUAUUCACCCCCUUCCCACCCUCCAAUCCCUUCCCACCCAACUUUGAGAUUUUUCUUUUUAACCCCAGUUUAUGUUGGCUAGCUAGUCUUGAGAGUGGGACCUGAUGUAGCAUGUGGUUGAUUUACGAUUAUUAAAUUGUAUUUACAGUUAAUUUGAUUUUAAAUUAUUAAAUUAUUAUUAAAGAAAUGGACUCCCCCUCCUAGAAGCUCUUGAAUGCCAAUCGCUUCUUCUGCCAAUGUUGGUAUCUGCCAGGAUUUGGUGUGGCUGGAGCUUUGGUGGGGUUUAUGCAGGUUGUCGCUGUUGCUGUGAGUUUAUAUCUAUAGCUGCCCUGUUGUAUCUGGAAAACACCAUUUCCUUUAUGUCAUCUACCACCAUGGCUCUUACAGGCUUUCUGCCCCCUCUUCUGCAAAGAUCCCUCAGCCCUGGCUGGUGUGUGUGUGUGUGUGUGUGUGUGUGUGUGUGUGUGUGUAAUAGGAAUCUCAUUUAGGGCUUAGCACGCCAGUGUCUUGUUCUCAGCAUGUUGACCAGUUGAGGGUCUGUGUUCUAUCUACUGCAAGGAGAAACUUCUUUGAUGAGAGAUGAGAAAUGCUGUGAUCUAUAUAUAUAAUAAAAAGUUAUUAGGAGCCAUUUUAACACUAUAUCCAUUUAGCCAAAUAAUAAUAUUCAGUUCUACCCAAGGGCCCUGGCCUAUAUUUAGCCACAGGAAUUAAGUCUUUCUAAUCCUCAUCCAGAUUAAUCUUUUUCAUAUUAGUGGUAUUUUUGAUAAUGUGAUGAAAGCUAUAAACCAUUUCAUAUACAUACUCAUAAUAUUUUGUGUUCUAUAUCAAGAGACGCUCUCCCACCCCCACCCCAAGACAGUUUCUUUGUGUAUCCCUGGUUGUCCUGGAACUUGCUCUGUGGACCAGGCUGGCUUCAAACUCACAGAGAUCUGCCUCUGCUAAAAUGAAAGGUGUUCACCUCCCAGCUUCACAAUUCUCUUAACCCCAUUUGCAGAGGACUUCGAGUUAACCCCAGUAUGUCAUAUCAUUCUACUUUUUCAGGUCCCUGAUUUCAAAAUGGGAAGAGCUAGAGGGGCGGGGAGAACACAGCUGAUUGCAUUGUGCUGUGUUUAGUAGUAUAUAGACAUGUGGGCCUUUCCGUUAUAUUUCUUCUUCUACUUGAGCAUCAGGGGCUUUGAGAAAGCCUUCAUUCCUAGCUGCAAAGUGAGAUUACCAGAGAGCCUCACCUUACAAGAAGAACUUCUUACCCUGGGGACUGGGCAGGAGGGAAUGUGAGGCCAGCCAGGCUGACAAGAGAGGCCCCCUCGAGAAACAAAAUGCUUAAUUAAUACUGCCCUCUACAAGACUUUCUUUCUCUACUUAGAGACGGAGGAUUAAUGGUGAAUGAAGAAGGCUAGUCAUGCAUUGGCUUGCAUUCACACUGAGAACAGACACCAGGGCUUUUACUUGUUCAUCUAUUUUAUGUGCAUGUGUGUAUAGAAGUCAGGGGACCGUGUGUGGGAGUAGGUCCUCUUCUUCUAGCAUGUGGAUGACAGGGCUGGAACUCAGCCUGUCAUACUUGGUGACAAGAGCCUCUACCAGGUGAGCUAUCUUACUGCCCACCCCUUUAGUGGAAAGCAGAACUCUAGCUUAGAAAAUGGAGCUGGAAGAAAACAGCUUAGCAGCUUCUGAAAGAACCUUUACCUAAACACCAUGGUAUAAAAUGUGUCUUCCUUGCUUUUUUUUUCUUCUUUUUGUUUGUGUCUUGUUUGGUUUGGGUCUUUAGGACAAGGUCUCAAUGCAUCCUCAGCUGGCUUUGAAUUUAUUACUUAGCUUUGGAUGACCCUGAACUUCUGAUCCUACUGCCCCCACCCUCUCCCCAAGUGUUAGGAUUAACACAGGCCCUGCUACCUCCCAUGUACGCAAAGCUGUGGAUGGAGCACAGAAGGCUGUGACUACUAGGCAACCAUAUUACCAGCUGAGCCAUGCCCCCAACCCUAAAGGUCAGGUCCCAACCAUGAGGGCUGUGACUACCAUGGCAAUGAAGGGUAUUCUGAACUCUAGUAGUUGUCUUGUCGAGUGUUCAGUGUAUACUGGGAUGUCCCAGCCUGCUUCCUAGAUGAUGGCUCAUUUAGUACAAGCUGCCUCAGAGAUUUCAAAAGCACCCUGAGAGAAUGAGACUCAGCCGUCAGUCUCAACAGCUCACAAUGGGGAUUCUUCAGUCUCCCAAAGGGUUGUGAUUCCUGGUUUCCUGUCAUCCCGAGUGUCAGGGUGACCAAGAGCAAGGCUGAGUGGAACUGCUUGCGUAUGCUGAUGCAGGCCUGGUUCUUAUGGUCUGGUCUCUAUUACUUACUAGGAAUUAGACACCAAACAGUACGAUAACUUCUGUGAGUCUUAAUAUCUUUAGUUGUAAAUAUCUUACUUGGAAGGCUGUUGUUAAAACCAAGAAGGACCAUUGUGUAAAACUCUGAAAUUUCUCAAAGAUCACAUAAAUCUUAGUAAAUAUAACUGUGACAGUUUCCCAACCAAAACACUGCUGCCACUCCUGUGACUUUAGUUAAUAAGUGAAUACAUGGAUACAUGUGCUAGAUUAGUGGCAAGUAUAUACACUACCAAUCAUAGUUAGACUCCUAUAUAAUUUACUGAUAGAUACUAAAACACAACAAAAUUAUCCUUAGCCAUGCUUAAAAGAAGCAGGCUAUUUAUUGUUCGAAAUUGUGGUCAAUAGAAUAUGAUAAAAAUAAACCUGAUUUCCUGUCAAGAUAAAAACAAACCCCACAGAACACUGUGUUCCUACAUCAGCGUGUGUUCACACCGAGAUCCCUGUACGCAGUACUGGUUGUCUCUAAGUCUUCCUCAGCAUUAAUGAUAGUGCAGUUUUUAAUGUUAGCACCUAAAACCUCAUUUCCAUAUAACAAAGUACAUCGGUACCAAAUGUUUCCUCUUUCCUUAACUCUCCAUGAAAGUUUUUGGUUUCCCGCUAAAAAGUGACAUUGAGAAAUUCCUUUAUAGCUUUCUUGUCUUGGUUUGUUUUAUUUUAGUAGGAAUGAUAUAGUUUAAGGUAGGGAGAUCGCACAGCAGGUAAGAGAGCUUAGCUAUACAAGUAUUGAGGACUAAGUUCAGAUUGCCAGAACCGUGUAAAAAGCUAACUAUGCUCACACAUGAACACCUGUCACCUCAGAGUCUAUAUGGCUGUCGGGUGUCAUUAGGGCUUGCUGGCCCAGCCUAGCUCCAGGUCCAUUGGGAGACCCCGCCUCGAGGGAAUAAGGCAGAACAUCACAGAGCAGAGCACCAGAUAUCCGUCCCUGGUUGUGCUCAUGUAACUUCGCAUGCACAUGAGCAUACACACACACACACACACACACACACACACACACACACACUCAAAAUGGAAUGAUAAACUUGGACCAAUGUAGUCAACUGGGCUGAUAAAGCUCCUUGUGAUGUGUUUGGGGAGGGUGUGAAGGCAUGCGUGUGUGCACACGCCUGCAUGGGCUUGUGGGAGGCUAAUCUCAGGUGUCCUUACUCAGUUGCUGCACACCUUCAGACAGGUCUUUCCAUUGGCUUCAGUCAGUACAGCCUCCUCAAUUCUGGGAUCACUAGCAUGUACUGCCACACCCGCCACACCCGUGAUUUUCUGUAGGCUCUGGGGAUCGAACUCAAGACCUCCCGCUUCCAAGGCAAAUGUUAUACUGACUGAGCCAUCUCUCCAGCUUAUUUUUCCCUUCCUUUUCCUCUUGCCUCUUUCUUUUCCUUCCUUCCCUCACCCCUCUAUACCAUCCUGCCCCCUUUCUUACUUUUUCCCUAGAUACUGAGGUUUGAAUUUGGAGCCUUGUUCAUGCCAGACAAGCGCUGAAUUAACUGAGCGAUGUGCCCAGCACCAGGAAGCUUCUCUGAUUCCGGAAUCUCUAAUGAAGUAUUACUAUGUUUCAUUUCUAAUAACCCAAGCUGAGAAAACCACAAAUGAAAAAAAAGAGAGAGCUUGAUUAUUAUCUUUUUUCUCAGCUGUCUAACAAUCUGGCAAUGAAAACCUCAUUUGACGGAGAAAGGCUUCCUAUCUGCAAACAGAUCAGACUUGGGAAACACUGCAACAGACAACCCAGCCCCCACCCCAUGCUUUGUGUAGGUCAAAAAUUACGUUAACUGUUAGCUGGUUUGCACGAUUCUCAAGACUCUCUUUUAGGCUGGCUGCUACAUGAGAAAAUACGGUGUGUUGUUGAGUUCUCCAUUUUGAUAUACUCAAAGCUGGUAAGUAGAAAACACAAGCUUCCUACUUCCCACAAAUCCAUUCUGGGAGCUGAAUAAUUUAUUACCCUCUCAGGAAAAAGGACCCUGCUGUCAGGGUUCCAGCUUCUACUUUCUGCUCCCUCCCAUGAUCCUCCUCUCUUCUUCAUCUCCUGGGGAGCUGCAACAGAGGACGCUGCUUUCUUGGCAUGCUCUUGUUUAUUUGUGGGCGUGUGGACUGGUAUCUAGGAAACUUUCCAAGGAGCACAGUCAUGCACGGUAUGGAAACCACAUGCAUACACCACACCCUGCUCCCCGCACAGCAGCGUCUCUGGAGAAGUUUCUGUUGACUAAAUCUCUUCUGUAUCUCCUGGCUGUCCUCUAGAUGUGGUCCCGAUUGCUUUUUGUUGUUCGUGGUGUUUGUGUUGAUUUUUACAUACUUUUCUGUUUAUAAAGUAACACGUGAAAUAUCUAUGUCUAUCUCACCAUCCUGUCCAGUAGGGUAGCGUCUGGUCACAUGCGAUUAUUUAAAUUUAAAUUAAUUAAAAUGAACUUAAACUAACAAAAACUCAGUUACAUGCUCAAACACAGUAAGGGUAGAGCGUGUCGGACUGGACUGGAAAGCCCAGAGAACGGCUUCUGCCCAGGGGAGGAGCCACACUGUAGAGCAGGCUAACUUACCUUCUCUCCAUAGUUCUACUGUAUCAUACAGGGUCCUUUGCUCUUACUAUAAGUGCUCCAUUGUGUUCUACUGCUUGGAUGGUCCUUAAUUCACUUAUCUACGGAUAAAUAUAUAGAUUGCUUCUAUUUUCCCUGUUUUGAAAACAAUUUGACUCUUUUUUUUGCAUAUUUGCCUUCGUAUACUUAUCUAAAUGUUGAAAAUUGGAAUUGGUCUACAUUGUCCAAUUUUGGUUCAUAUUUCCAAGCUACCCUUUAGCAACUGUAUCAAAUGACUGUAAUUCCUUUGGCCUGCUGUGAGUCACUGAACUUUGCCAUUUAAACUAGAGCCAUUAGAAUACUUACCCUGUCCCUUACUGGGUAAUCACGAGAUACAAGUAAUAUAAACAUACUAAUACUUUAAAAAUAAAACAUCAAGGCCAUGUAUGGUAUUUAUAUUAAUUUGUAUGAUAGUUGUAAGGACAGGGGUGGGAACCACGAAUAUGUUGUUAUCUAGUUUAACACAAAAGAAAGAAUAGUUGUGGAGAUCGGGGUAAGAUUGCGGCCCAGGAGAUUUCCUUAUGGGGUAGAGCCUGUGGCUCCAGAAUCAUUGUGAUUGUAGGCAUAGGCAUUUGCUAAUAGGAAGGCAGAACUCUCCAAGGACACUGAGAGAAGUGAGGUGACUUUGGUUUUGGUGUUAGAAUGGAGAGAAUGAGAUGACAGACCAUCCAACUAUUCUGUUCUUUCUAUACACAACACAAGACUCCAGAGACAUGAAAUGAACUAGUGGGGCUCAUUCCUAGCAGGUGGUGGAACCCAAUACCCCGACUUCUUACUGUCUAGUCGGGGUCUCCUUUAGGGUCCCCCUCCCACCACCCCACCCCCAUUUUGAAGGGUACAGUCAGGAGAUGAUUUUACUGUCUUGAACGUGAAAGUCAUGCUGGUGUUGGGUAACUGACAUUUACUUAGUCUAUUCUUGAAACGAAUACUUAAUGAAGGCUAGCGAGGCACGUGGAAGUCGGACCUCACAAUGCUGCUUACCAGUCACUUGAAACGGCAGCAGGAAUCCUAGAACUGUCCAUGCUGACUCUGGGGCCAAACGACAAAUCGCAUCUGCUCCUUACAAAUGGCAGCCACGCCAUGUCACCUUCCUUAGGAAGACGCUCUGUUUUUAGUUCACCUCGAAUUUUAGUUCCCUUUAAAAAUAGGAAAUCAAAUGACUAGGCAGCCUUAAGUUAUGCAGGAGAUUAGGAGUAGCCUGUAAAACCAGCCAGAUGUCCAGGACCUCCAGGCUCUGUCUGAAAUGGCCUCAGAAUCCCUUCCAGGGAGGCUGUAACUGCUAGACUUCUUCAUGGUCCCUCUUUUCAUUGGAAUGUUCAACUUUAAAAUUACUUUCUAUUUGUUCUGUAAGAAUUUCACAUAUACACAUAACAUAUUUGAUAUUUUCAUUUCCUACUCUUCCCUUUACCUCCCUCCAGAUAGAUCUGUCCUCACUCCUCCCCCCACCCCAGCUUGUGUCUUUUUUUUUUUAAAUAACUUUGGUCUAAUUUGUGCUGCUCAUAUACUCAUGCAUGUGGGGCCUUCCACUGAUGUGUGGUUGACCAGUCAGGCACCAUAGCCUUAAAGAAAACUGAGUCUCUUACCCACAGAAGCCCUCAUCUGUCAACAGUACCUCAGCUAGAGGUGGGGACCACACUCUGUACAUCUCCAGGGGUUGACUUAACUGGAGGGGCAAAGGAUGAAGAAAUCACAAACACACAGACACGUAGGCAGAGAAAACCUGGGAUGGGGUGGUCUGCGCUCUCUGAUGGAGAAGCUGCAGCAUCAUGGGGGCUCAGCAUGAUUAUUUAUAUAAGGGAGGCAGGCAUUAAGUAGAGAGGCAGGGUGAUUGCACAUGGCUGAAUAAGGAGGCAAGUUUGGCUAAUCUUGGUAGGAACAGUUUCUGUAGUAGAGCAGUCGUAGGUCAUAAUCAUGGGAGUGGGGAAGCUACAGGUGGGCAUUGUCUGUAUAUAUUAUCAACAACCACACUGAGACCAGAGGGAUGUUCUGCUAUCUGGCUGAGCCUUGCCCAGGGAAGGCUUCGACACUUCCAAGGUUCCUUUGAGGCUCCUUGACACGGCUGUGGCCACGUCAACAAUGUCAGAUGGGGGACUGUGAGUCCUCCCGACUCUGUGCUGGACUGGCUUGAUCUUGUGCAGGUCUUAUGCAGGCAGUCUUUGCUACAGUGAGUUCAUGAGUGCAACAGUCUGGUCAUGUUCCGAAGACAUGAUUUCACUGCAGUCUUCCUUGACCGCUGGCUCUUUUCUACGUCCUUUCCACGGUUGGUCCCUGAGCCUUGAGGGAAGUUGGAGUAUGAUACAGAUGUCCCACAUGUGACUGAGCAUGACACAGACAUCUGUUCUUUACACCUUUACUAGCCGUGAAUUGUUUUACAGGUCCACUAGCUGCUAGAAAUUGAUCUUCCAAUCUCAUUUAUUCAUUUAUUUAGCAUCCAUAUGUCCUAAAUUAUAGCUGAGCUCUUAACCCCGGAGCUGUCAGAACCCCUCCAGGGAAUCCUGUGCUGAAAUCAAAGAGAGAGUGCCUGGCUUUUGCAGGAAACCAAAGGCCUCUGAGGUUUCUGGAUGGAGAGCAGCUUCUAUGACUCCUGCUGAGGAAGGCUUUGCAUGCACAGCAGUACUUGGUCUUAAACUUGCUAAUAUUUUCAACUAUAAAGCAGUAGAAAACGAGGUAACAGAAUGCUUUGUUCCACCAGACCAAGGUGAAAAUAUGUCACCGUGGAAUAUUAAUUUUUAUAUAAAAUUAAAAAGUUAAAAAAAUUUGGGGGCAUUUAAUUUGAUAAAUUGCUCAUUAUUUCAGAUUUAUCUUUUUUAAAUAUCUUUUCAGUUUUAGAAACACAUACUUAGAGUUGGUUUGAUGGCUCAGUGAGCAAAGACAGUGACUGCCAAGCCUGAUGUGGGAGAAGGAGAGAGGGUUUCCACAGGGUUUCCUCUGCCAUAGGUGUGUGGGACAAUCACACACACACACACACACACACACACACACACACACACACGCAAGGGAGGGAGUUUGAAAACCCGAAUAGUUAUAAUAUUUUCCCAAUAUCAGUGCUUCCUUUGUGUUCAAUUGUUUUCUUCUGUUCAUUUUAAAAUUUAGAAUGUUUUCUAGAACAUUCAUCCGUUCAUUUUAUAGUUUGAUGGUUUGGAGGGAAGGCUGCAUGGAGAUACCGUCUGUGCUUUUAUCCAAUAGCCAUCAGCAUAGCUUGUCCCCAACCCCUGAAACUCCCCCUUGAAAUUAAUUAGAAAAUUAGUUCACCUGCCUUCUCCAUCACUUCUCUCUCUCUUAAGCAAAACUAAUUCACUUCAAAAUGUUUUUCAUUUGUGAUAUUGAGCCAGGAUGGGGAUACAGUAAAACCUUAUUGUCUUUGCUCCUUUUAUCUCCUUUGGUCUGCUCUGAUUUAUUGCUUCUGCUCUAUUUUCAAGUUGUCUAGCACUUGCAACCUGUCCCAAGCUCACUUUUAAAAUAUAUACAAGCAAACCCUAAACAGAUGGCUCUGUUGAUCUUCUGUCUGCUGAUAGCAAAUGGGUUUGUGUGGAAGGCCACUGACUUCAGAGAACCUCCCUGGUGAGAGAGGGUGACGAAAGAAGGGAUUUGCUGUGGUCGUUACAUUUACUUAGGGUUUUUUUUUUUCUGAUUUUAUUUUUGUUUUAUGGGAUAGAUAUACAUGGAGAAGGGCAGAUCUAUGUGCAUUUCAGGAUCAUAGAAAUCACUAAGAUUUGAUAAAUGCAUGUGUGUAUUUAGUACAGCUUGCUAUCAGUAGUCCAUGGCGAUCUGCCUGAAUAUGAUUCUGGUGCCUUCCAUAAAAAGACACAUUUGACAUAGUUUAAUUUUAAUGCUGACUGGUUCUACAGUGCUUUAAAUAUCACUAGUACUAUCUUAUUUUUUGGCAAAAAUUCCAAAGAAGAUUUAAGGAAGAAAUAAGUAAAAAUAUUGUCAUUAUGCCACAGAGAAAUGAAGUUCAAUUAUAACUUCAAAAACCAAAUGAAAUUGAAAUCACAGAGGAUGCAAAAAUAAACCUGCCACUAUCAUCAUCAUCACCACCACCAUCAUCAUCAUCACCACCACCACCACCACCACCAUCAUCAUAAUCAUCAUCAUCAUCAUCAUCAUCAUCAUCUGAUUUCCAGCAAAGGUGACAGAAACAUGUUGGAGAAAAGAGGAUCUUUGCCGCAGGGGAUGCUGGGAACCCUGGAAAUUCACAGGAGAAACCAAACUCAUGCCCCACUUCACACCCUGGGAAAAAUAACUCAAUAGAAGCCGGAGUCCUUGAUAAGGCAUAACUUUUCACGUUAGAGAAAACCCUUGAUGAUACAGCUGCAAGCAAGACCUUUCUGAUAGCUCAGGAGAUAGUGGAGAACUGACAAGCAGGAUUGCAUCAAGCUUCAGCCAUUGAAGAAAACAGCAAAGAGAAGGGCAGGCUACCAAGAGACUAUUCAUUCGAUGAGAUAAGCUUCCAGACUAUCUCACUGGGUAUGACAUCAUGGGCUCUACUACUCUCUGGAACUGUGAGCCCCAAAUUAAAUGCUUUCUUUUAUAAGUUCCCUUGGACAUGGGGUCUCUUCACAGCAGAAAUGUAAGAUAGAUGGGUGACGUCCUGUGAGACUCAUGUCAGCUAAAGUAAUAUUUCAAAAACGUUUUUUUGUCUGAUGGCUGGAACAAAAUGCCUAUUUCAACUAGGUGCUUUAAUUUAUCUGUGGGUGGAAAACAGGACUGGUCUUGACCAGUGCUGGAGAAUUGGAUCAUGUCCAUAGACCUCAAAAAUAACUCUUAAUGGACUCUCAACUUCUUUGAUGCUAAUAAUUAUAAACAUUUUAAUCAAAUAAUUAUCUUACCCAAGAGAGGGAAAUAACAUGUACUAAUAAAAAUAAUUGAAUGUAAAAAUAAUGAAUGAUCUUCAAUUUGAGAUACUCAAAUAAAUAAUAGCUAUCAAACUACUUUUAGAACUUUUAAAUGCCUAAUGAAAACUGCUUAUUUAUCCUUGAUAUGGCUUCACAGGUUGACUUUUUCUUGUUUCCUGGAUCUAUAUCAUGGUAGAAGUAAUUAACACUUCUUAUGUUGGUUGUGGAACUCUGAGCUGCAUUAUAUUUUUCAUAGAUUAAAUGGAAAAAUAGAAUAGUUUUCAAAUUAAUUUAGUUUACUCAUCAGGCACAGUCUUCUAAACCAAUUGUUUCAUUAGAGGAAAAGGUUGGCCAUAAUGAGAAAGCUAGCCAACGACGUUUCUCCACGAACACCAGAUUGGAGAACCACUGGGACAGUGUAGUUAACGGAACAUUUUCACCCAAGCGUGGCUCAGGAAGUGCUGUCUAGAAAGGGUGGGCCUCAAUACAGAAGCACUGGGGCUAGAUGGAGCUCUGGUGGCAAUGCCAUUUUUUACUAGUGUCCAGGUAGACCGUGGGGACUUCAACUCCUACCAUAGCUAUUCCACUGAAUAACCUAGGUGGCUCUGCCAUGGAGGGGUAGCUCACAAUCAACUCUUUUUGAGUAGCUGGAAGUUCUUAAUACGGUAAAUCUGAUAGAAGCAUUUCCCUGGGGGAGUGUAGUCUUCAAGGCACUGCAAUAGGUAGAGCUUAGACAACCCUCGAGCUUUCUGUGAAUUUAGGACCAGCCUUAGGACUUCCACACAGCGUGGGAGAGGAAGUCACUCACACUGACAAAUGCCUGUGUGGUGAGCUUCAGGGCUAACAGACACCUGCUGACACUGAACACACAGGGGCUGUGGUCUCUGCACCACAUGCCUUUCAUGUGUUGUAACGAUGACAUUUCUGAAGUGUUUGUGUCCACAUUUUCAUUUUUGUUCAGAGGUCACACACUCUAAUGAUACAACUAGGAUUUAACUCUCAUCAUCCCAAACAGAGAACAUAAGCAUCUCUUCAUUUGCUGCCGGAGACCUCUUGAGACCUCCUUCCCAACCUAGCAAGUCUGAACUGGUCAUCGCAGCAGCUUGGUUGCUUACUUAUUUGUCAUUUCGGGAUGCUGUCAGCUUUCCUAUGGUUAUCUUCUAGUGGCCAAAAGUCACAUUUCACUUUAUCUGUCUGGUUGAGAAUUCACUGUUGUGAAUGAAAAUCAUGGAAAAUUAACUAUAACUUUUUAAAAUUAACUUGCUCAGAAUGACAUUUUUUUCCAUUUUUUAUUAGGUAUUUAGCUCAUUUACAUUUCCAAUGCUAUACCAAAAGUCCCCCAUGCCCACCCACCCCCACUCCCGUACCCACCCACUCCCCCUUUUUGGCCCUGGCGUUCCCCUGUACUGGGGCAUAUAAAGUUUGCGUGUCCAAUGGGCCUCUCUUUCCAGCGAUGGCGGACUAGGCCAUCUUUUGAUACAUAUGCAGCUAGAGUCAAGAGCUACUGGUUAGUUCAUAAUGUUGUUCCACCUAUAGGGUUGCACAUCCCUUUAGCUCCUUGGGUUCUUUCUCUAGCUCCUCCAUUGGGAGCCCUGUGAUCCAUCCAUUAGCUGACUGUGAGCAUCCACUUCUGUGUUUGCUAGGCCCCGGCAUAGUCUCACAAGAGACAGCUACAUCUGGGUCCUUUCGAUAAAAUCUUGCUAGUGUAUGCAAUGGUGUCAGCGUUUGGAUGCUGAUUAUGGGGUGGAUCCAUGGAUAUGGCAGUCUCUACAUGGUCCAUCCUUUCAUCUCAGCUCCAAACUUUGUCUCUGUAACUCCUUCCAUGGGUGUUUUGUUCCCAAUUCUAAGGAGGGGCAUAGUGUCCAUACUUCAGUCUUCAUUCUUCUUGAGUUUCAUGUGUUUAGCAAAUUGUAUCUUAUAUCUUGGGAAUCCUAGGUUUGGGGCUAAUAUCCACUUAUCAGUGAGUACAUAUUGUGUGAGUUCCUUUGUGAAUGUGUUACCUCACUCAGGAUGAUGCCCUCCAGGUCCAUCCAUUUGGCUAGGAAUUUCAUAAAUUCAUUCUUUUUAAUAGCUGAAUAGUACUCCAUUGUGUAGAUGUACCACAUUUUCUGUAUCCAUUCCUCUGUUGAGGGGCAUCUGGGUUCAAGCCACUAAAGUAGUAUUAUUGCUCAGAAAUGUUCCUCCUCUUUCCCACUCUCUUCCUGGUGGUGCGAUCAAUCCCAGUGCUUGUACGCUUUAGGCAAGCACUCUACCACUGGACUAUAUUCCCAUCCCAAGUAUGAAUCCUUCUCUCCCUCUCUCCUCCCCUCUCUCCCUCCCUCCAUUCUUCCUCCCCCCUCUGUUUUUCUUCCUUCCCUCCCUCCUUUCCUUCUUCUUCUUCCUUUCCCCUGCACCCUCAAAAAAAAACCCAAAAACAAACAAACAAACAAACAAAGAACCAAGAGCCAGACAUGAUGGCCUAUCUUGUAAUUCCAGCACCAAGGGAGCAGGAACAGGUGAACUUUUAUGAGUUCAAGACCAACCUGGUUUGUAUAGCAAGGGGAUUCCAUGCUAGAACAUGCUACACAGUGAGACAAGAUAGAGAUAGAGAUAGAGAUAGAGAUAGAGAUAGAGAUAGAGAUAGAGAUAGAUAGAUAGAUGGAUGGAUGGAUGGAUGGAUGGAUGGAUGGAUAGAUAGAUAGAUAGAUAGAUAGAUAGAUAGAUAGAUAGAUAGAUAGAUUAAAUAAAAGUAAUUAAGGCUGGGAGAUGGCUCAGGGAUCAAGAUAAUCUGCUGAUAAGCCUGGUAAUCUGAAUUUGAGUCCCAAGUACCAUAUAGUGAAAGAAAGACUUGCCUCCCACAAGCUGUCCUCUGACUUCUAAACAUACUGCAAUGUGCAAAUGGACACAGACAUGCACGCACGAGAGUGCACGAAUACACCCCCUAAAAAAAUAAAUAAAACUAAAUGUAGAGGGAAAAAAUAAUUUAAAAAAGACGGUGCCUCAGGUUAAGACGUGAUCUGUGGGUGCUCACAGGAACUCAGAGCUGUAACGCUGCCUUGCUGUAAACGUAAAGAAAUUUAAGUUUUGGUGCAUUGGUUUCUUUUUCAGAAAACAAAGAUAAAUCUGACUGUAAAAUUCUCAGACAGGAAAAAUGUCACUACUGUCUACAGAAGACAUCAACAUGGACUGCUGCUGCUGUACUUUCUUCAUGUAUUCUUUUCUAGAGAACUUAUUUCUAUCAUUUAAACUAUGUGUAGGUGUGCAGGGGCGGGGGGAAGCAUGACAAAGGCAUAGUAUAGAUGUGCACAGAGGCCAGAGCCAUCCAGUCCUUGAGAGCGUUACAGGCAGUUGUGAGCUGCCUGACAUGGGUGCUAGGAACCAAACUUGGGUCCUCUGGAAGAGCAACACAUGAUUUUAGCUAUUAACCUACCUUUCAAGCCCCUUCCAGGUUAUUUUUUGAGGAAAGCUUUUAAAAAUAUUAUUUGUAAUUGCAAAUGCUUUUAAAAGUGUUAUUAGUAUCUACAGUAAUUGUAAAGAAAAUGGGCAAGAGAAGAUAUUAAUUACCAAACAAAAUUAUAUUUUAAAAAGAGACGCAACAUACUAAUGUAUUUGCAGAUAAAGAAGGUAUACCAGAAAGAUAUGCCCACAUCUAUGGAAAUGAUAUGAAAUUCUCCUGAUGAAGCCAAAAGCUACUAAGAAAAUGGUUUAAAUUAUGAAAUGCAAACAGGAGUAAGACUUGGAAACACUCAGGCUGAGAAGAUAGCUCAAUGGGUAAACUGCUUGCUGGGUAAAGUGUGAGGACCCAAUUUCAGAUCCUUAGCAUCUGAAGAAAGCCAAGCACAGGCCUGUAAUCCCAGCACAUAAACCAGAGGCUGAAUAACCCCAGGGGCCUCACUGGUCAGCUAGAGUAGACUAUCAGUGAACCACGGAAUCAAUGAAAGAGCCUCAGAAAAUAAGGUAGAAAAUGAUAGAGGGAGGAUACCCAGGGCCAGCUUUGGCAUCAGUGAGUUUAUUCACAAACAUGUACAUGCACACAUAUGUACACACAUACUUGAAUUUGGACAACUCAAGUUUCCUUAUUAAAGAGAAGGAAGAUCUUUAAAAUCAGGCGGAAAAAAAAAAAAAAAAAAAAAAAAAACCUCUGAAAAUUAGAAGUAAGCUCGGUGUGGCGGUGUGUGCCUUUAAUUCCAGCACCCCAAAGGCAGAAUCAGACAAGUUUCUAAAUUCAAUGUUCGCUAGGUCUACACAACAAGUUCCAGACCAGCUGGGGCUGUAUAAUCAGACAGUAUCUGAAAAAGAAAAAGAAGAAAAAAUAAAAGAAAGAAGGGAAGAGAAAGGAAUGAAGGAAGGUAGCGAGGGAGAAAGAUUGAAAUUUUUAGGAAAGGAGCCUAAGCUAGAAGGAAAGAACAAAUGCACACGAGCACAGCAGGGGAUAACUUAGGGAUGCUGGACUCGUAACAGCUCCAACCUGGAGACAACCCAGAUACCCAUCCACUGGUAAACACACACACACACACACACACACACACACACACACAAAUACACAGAGAGGGGUGAAAGGGAAAGAGAGGGAGAGGGGGAGAAGGAGAGAGAGGAAAAUGUCUCCCAUAUAGAGGACAAGAGGACCUACUGAGAACAUAACAAAUUAACUACUUUUGUGUACAGUCACAUUGAUACAUCCCAAAGCAUUAUGUUGCAUGAAUUACAUAAAGCACAAUAAAAACUGCGUGCUGUGUGACUCCAUUUAAAUGACAUUCUAAAAAUGGCAAAUAUCUAGGGGCUGAAAACUGUGGUAUGUAUCUCGGUCUUGCUGCUGUUUAUCUUCAAUAACAGUUGCCAAACUCUACACUUAAGAAGAUAAAUUAUAUUGCAUGUAAAUCAUGUCUUAGUUAAAAAAAAAAGAUAAGAGGAUUUGAGAAAAAGUGAUCACCACAGGCGUACGGCCAGGAAGUUUGAACUUGUGCAUCUCAGGCACCUUGGAGAAGAAGCUGCGGCAGUGUGGUCCCGAGCAGGAAGUCGCCCAGGCUCACGAAAGUUCCUCAAAUAAGGCUGUAGGUGACUGAAAGGCAAGCCAGUGAUUCAGCUGUUCUGGAGUGGAGACCACAGUCACACUUGAAGGAAAUUAGGGUAUGUUGUUCCUGUGAGUGGUUCUGGUGGGAUCUUUUGUAAUCAGAAUGACUACAGAGAUCCCCACAUCCAUGGAGCAUGAAGCUCGCAGUGAAUUCUUCUCGCUAAUAAAAUCACGAACGGGAAGACAUCAUAUGCAACCCUCUUGCCAAAACCACACACCACCGUAUAUCAAUCAUUCUGAGAAGGGUGGGGAGAGAGGAAUGAAGAAAAAGAAGCCUAACCACAAGCAAGCCUCCAGAUCUGCCAGUUUUCAGGAGAGGGGAUUGUGCUAAACAAUUCGAGUACAGUAAGCAAAAAAAAAAAAAAAAAAAAAAAAAAAAUGGAGUCUGGGAAACUUUGCAGGGCAUACAAGCCUGUUCCUUCAGCAGAACUCCAGGAAAGAGAAUUCAGGGAUAGAGCAAAUGUGACAAUAGAGGUAAGAAGAAACGCAUUACCACUCAGUGGCUGUACCCCUUUUUGGGUAAUGAUUAAAAAUAUAAGGCAUAAGAACACGACAGUUGAGAGAGUGCAGGCAGUAAUUUAUAUUUUAACACUAAGGAGUUAACUUUAAAUGGAAUCUACAGUGGCAUUGUGGUUAUAGUUACAAAGCAGGCAGGGCUCUUGUGUUUUAGCUGUCUGUACUGCAAUCCCACUGUGUACCCGCUUUGCUUACCAGAAGGCUUAAUUAUAAUUGGGGGAACUCAGAUAAAGUGGGACUGGCUGAAGACCCCAUCUGAUUUGCUCAGUGAUGGAUUCAUGGAAGCUUAUGAUUCUUUCUUACCCUGCUUUUAUAUCUUUGACAUUUUCCAGAAUGAAAACUUUUUUUUUAAAAAUAGCAUUCAUAUAAGACUUCUCACAAACCUGUAACAAAAACGUUAUCGUCCACAUAGACAGGAAGUGUUAUUGCAGAGGUGAUCAUUGGCCUCAAACGUGGAGGCCCAUCCUCAGACACCCUGUCUUACCGCUGCUUGUUUGACCGUGUUAUCUUCAAAUCAGAGAUGGGCAUAUCAUGGGUUGGCUUUCUCUUCCCAGUGCUCUGACAGCCAGCUGUGAGCCCUGAGGUAGUGACACUCCUUUCAACCGGAGCCCUCCGCUCCCUUGACUCACAUUGCUCAACUCUCCAUCCAUCACCACAGAUGAAAAUGCCCUGCUUUUAUUUGCUUCUGUUUCCCCCUCUCAUUUUUGACUUUCUUCUUUCUGUCCCGCUGCCGUGUCUCCCUGAACCCCUUCCUUCACUUCGCCAAGUGACUUGUCGCCUGCUGGCUGUGCUCUGGACACCAUCUCUCUGCCCCUCCCACACUAGUGAUGGCCUCUCUACCUCUCCAAGCACUGGAUUCGGCAAAGGAACCUUUCACUGGGCAUGUGCAGAGCUGGAACCUGAUAAGAACGCUCAUAAUUACACGCUUAUUGUUGGGGAAGAUGCUGGCAUCUUGAAUGCCAAGGACAUUGAGAAGAAAUGACAUCAGAAAGGCUAGUUUUAUACCCCAAAUAUUCCAUACUCUAUACUCCUGGAGGAGUGCCAAUCUUCGUCCCUAUAUGCCUUGCUUCCUACCCAGGAAAUGAGUACACUGAAGCCUUCAGCAACAACACAUAGAUCUUUCAAGGCACACGGCAUUAAAGUGGAAGAUCCUUGUGGGCUGGGACUUUGCUGAUUUGGGUUUAGGCCUCUGUGUGUAGAUAUGCUGUGGCUGCAAGCUUCUACAGGAUGUUAAACACUUUUGCUGAGGUCCAGUGGAUGAAGAUCUUUGCUGGCUCACCCAGCUGCAGUGCCACAUGAGAAAGUGUGGUUUGAAGCAGUGGGUUUUUCACUUUUGGUGUACUUUGCUGUCUUCCUGCUUCUGAACAUUGUCUUUCUCAAGUACCUCCUGUAGACACUCACGUUUCUUCCUCCUUAUCAAAGUCCUACCAUCAACAUGACAACCUUCAAAGACUCGCCAGUCCCCCAGUGCCCUGCACAGCAGUUGGGCAAAAUCCUUUGCUGAAAAAUUUUCACAUUGUUUUCAUCAACAUUAAUAUUUCUAGAUAUCCAUCGCAGACCAUCAGUAGUAAAUAGCUCUUCAUAAAAUAGGAAUGGGGGUCCUCUUGCUCCUGCUCUUGCCUUCCUGUUCCUGCUCUCUCGCUUUUCCUUUCCCCCCUCUCUCCAUGUGUGCAUGGCCGGCCUCUACUUCUCUCUCUGCCUUUCUCUGCCUCUACAAGCCUUUCAACUCCCCUACCCAUGCCCUGAAUAAACUCUAUUCUAUCCAAAAAAAAAAAAAAAAAAAAGGAGGGCUGGAGGGAAGGCGCACAUAAAUAAAAAUAAUAAGUCUUUUAAAAGAGAGAAAAUGAAGGGACUAGGGGAAAGGGAGAUGGAUUGUCUUGCAACCCUUAUGACCAGAGUUCCAUUCCCAGAACCCAAGUCAGAAAAGGUGGGUAUGGUGCUGUGCCUCUGUAAUACCAGAGUGCUAUGGCAAGAAGGGAAGUAGGGGCAGGAAGAACGUGUAAGAACUCACGUAUCAAGAAAGACCCUGAUUCAAAACCCAAAAAAACUCACGACAGCAGAGGAACAAGGUCGAGUGAGAGAACUAAACCUCUGUGACGUGUAUUUACAUGAAUACACACACACACA